GCAACUCGCCUACAUGAAGCUGGAAUUGCUAGUAAUCACAGGUCAGCAUACUGUGGUGAAUACGUUCCCGGGCCUUGUACACACCGCCCGUCACACCAUGAGAGUUGAGAAUACCCGAAGUCCAUGUCAAAGUGGCCGAAGGUAGGCUUGAUGAUUGGGGUGAAGUCGUAACAAGGUACC
RNAcentral lists this ribosomal RNA (180 nucleotides) under uncultured bacterium. RNAcentral's name for it is "partial 16S ribosomal RNA". It matches the Rfam family "Bacterial small subunit ribosomal RNA", at positions 1307 to 1500 of the family's 1533-position model. The record is from RNAcentral.